RNAcentral lists this transfer RNA (72 nucleotides) under Trichonephila inaurata madagascariensis. RNAcentral's name for it is "tRNA-Ala". The record is from RNAcentral. Lineage: Eukaryota; Metazoa; Arthropoda; Arachnida; Araneae; Nephilidae.
GGGGCGUAGCUCAGAUGGUAGAACGCUCGCUGAGCAUGCGAGAGGUUCGGGGAUCGAUACCCCACGCCUCCA